Molecule: long non-coding RNA, 1865 nt
Organism: Armigeres subalbatus
Lineage: Eukaryota; Metazoa; Arthropoda; Insecta; Diptera; Culicidae
Exons: 3
Source: RefSeq, a predicted model, not a curated record
AAUCUUUUGAAAUCUUUUUAUUAAAUCUCGCCAUCCCGCCGCAAAAAUUUCAUACAUAUUUUUGUCGUAGUGUAUACUUCUGUCAAACUUUUUUGGUGUCUGUUCUUUCAAAAACAUUACCGAUCAGAAUUUUCUUUGGAUGCAUUGAUCCGAAUGUGUUACCCAGGAACAGUCCGCAGAACUACCAGCAGCAAAAUUCUAGGAGAUUCUGUUCGCUCAAGCCUCUGAUGGGCCUCGCAAAACGCUCAACUUUGCUACUCCCGGACCAUUCCCGGACCAAAAACGUGUAUAAAACCGGAUCUCGUGAGGAAAUGAGUUCCGUGGAUCAAGUUUCUCUUUAACCAAGCAGACGGAAACCAUUGAGUGCUCCUCAAACUUGAAGGUGCCCGGUAACAUAAAAAGCAAUACUGGUACUGCCGAUGCCGUGAGGGUCGCGUUGGCUACGAGACAACUAUGACAGAUAACGGUUGCGGGUUGAGUUUCUUCGCGAGAGAAACGAGCACGGUGGAGUGAAAAACACAUGAGAUCGGGGCAAUCACAGGGCUCCCAGUUCCGCGUCAUGGUAAUAAGAUUGUUUGCUUCUGGCUCGUGGGAGAUUCGUCCAUAAUGCGAUGUGCAUUCUCGGUUACGCCAGCAAGACCAAUUGGAAACAUCAUUCAAACGAAUCGGUGCAUAUGGAUGCACGCAUUUGGGGUUCUCUUCCCCAUUAAGAAAUGGGAUUAUUAGAAAUUCCGUUGAGAUAAGCCGCGAUAAAACGAAGAGCAGCACGAAUGCGAUUGCGAGAAGAAACUACCAAUAAUGACAACAAAAGCGUUGAUCAUCUAGAGUUGGCCGCUGAUCUGAGGAAAGUAAAGGUACCUAAUGCUGUAAAAGGGAAUCCAGUCAAAGUUUAUAUAGAUACGUGAUACUAUAGCACACAGAUGGCUAAAUAUGUGCUGAAUUGGUGGCUGCCAUUGAAAAAAAGCAUCAGAGACUUCGACUUCGUAACGAUACCAAUCUAUUUUGAUUUGACACGGUAUACUGCAAUAAUGGGAUUGGACAACAAGGCAGCAGGUCUUCAGUGGUGAUCGCAAACUGCGAAUAUAGGCAAAGUUCAGACUAUGGAUGUACGACCGAACAAUUAUAUUCAGGAACUACACAUUGUUCAUCAACGUCGACGGCAAGAACUGCCAGUUGGUGAGAGCUCCCUGCAAACUGAACAACACCCAAGAUAUCGAGACUCCAUUGGCCGUGGUUGUUUUUUAGUUAUAAAGAUAAGGAGAAUUCCCAGGAUGUAUUCGAAAAACGCUCUAUAGUCAACUCUGUAUUAUUCGUUAUGGUUAGUCCCUGUAUGACCAUUACACAGUUAAUGGGUUGAACUUAUCGUCGAUCUUUUCCAUCUACAUACCUAGUGAAUUGUUCCGACCAGCUUGAUUUCUACGCAGGUGGCCCAGCAGAUGAGCCUAGCAAAUAUAUAAAUCGAAAUCUAUUCCCAAGCCGAAUUCCCGUGGGAAACUUUGCUUCCAAUUAUCAGCUUCAACUUGUUUAGCAGAUCCUUGAGGAUGCUGCGCAGCCGACGUAGUUUUGCCAUUGGAAGCGGCAUGCAAGAACCGAAAAAUUGAGAGUGCUGAUCCCAUUCCGUAACAUCUAAUUGGAGUUAAUUCUUUGCUAGCAUUGCGCAGCAUUGGAGUAAUCAAGCGUUAGGACUAAGCAAUACAAAAUAUGUUCGAAAGAAUUUCGAACUCGAAGGAUACCUCUAUGGUGCGAGCGUUAAUGAUGACGGCAACUGUGUGUAAUUUCCAUGGUCGAUCAAAUUUAUGGAUAACUUCAACGGGAUGCAAUGCAGAACAGGGAAGGUUCGAUUAUUAUGUACUUUUUACCUUAGU